UCCGGAAUAUAAACGACGAAGUUGUUGCUCAUGCAUCAAAGAGAUGAAGUUGAAUAUAAACGAGAAAGGCAGUUGAUUGUUUGUAAAGCUUAGUGUUUUGUUAGUCCUCAUCUUGAACUAUCAAGAACCCCUAGUAUGCUCAUUCACUAGUAACUGUUUGUAGCUUUUACAUGUACUCACUGAGCUGGAACUCUUGAUUGCCAUUUGUUAGGUAUAUGGCAGUUAUCUAGGGAUAAAUAGCAAUAUUUAUAUUGGUUUCAAAUCGUG
RNAcentral lists this long non-coding RNA (267 nucleotides) under Coffea arabica (coffee). Its description in RNAcentral is "long non-coding RNA (CARA_LNC002329)". The record is from RNAcentral. Lineage: Eukaryota; Viridiplantae; Streptophyta; Magnoliopsida; Gentianales; Rubiaceae.